GUACGACUUAUCCUCUUUAGAAGAUAAAAUGGAUUUUUCAUUUGAUAUAUUUAUCUCUAAAGCCUCUAGCUUUUUGAUAUGGAAUGUUUGGAGGACUCCUUUCAGUUGGUAUGCCGUCCGUUGUUCCAUUGGUCAUGUAUCGGAUAAUGAAUCUUUAUCUAGAUGAAUAGUUAACCAAUUUUAAAAGCAUCGUGAAGAGGGGAUCUGCUAUUCAUGUUCUUGUUAUUGUUCAUGUAUGUUCUAGGCUUUGAUUAAGCAGAUGCUAAAGUUGGUGCUCUUGAUUCUAGGCUUUGAUUAAGCAGAUGCUAAAGUUGGUGCUCUUGA
RNAcentral lists this unclassified non-coding RNA (324 nucleotides) under Hevea brasiliensis (rubber tree). Lineage: Eukaryota; Viridiplantae; Streptophyta; Magnoliopsida; Malpighiales; Euphorbiaceae. The record is from RNAcentral.